CCCUUAGACGUUCUGGGCCGCACGCGCGCUACACUGACGGAGCCAGCGAGCUUUUCCUUAACCGAGAGGUUUGGGUAAUCUUGUGAAACUCCGUCGUGCUGGGGAUAGAGCAUUGUAAUUAUUGCUCUUCAACGAGGAAUUCCUAGUAAGCGCAAGUCAUCAGCUUGCGUUGAUUACGUCCCUGCCCUUUGUACACACCGCCCGUCGCUCCUACCGAUGAAUCGUCCGGUGAAGUUCACAGAGUGGCGGUUCGUGGAGUUGCUCGCGAAGUGAAAUGGACCUCACGAUUUAGAGGAAGGAGAAGUCGUAACA
This 312-nucleotide ribosomal RNA is filed under the name uncultured eukaryote. RNAcentral's name for it is "partial 18S ribosomal RNA". It matches the Rfam family "Eukaryotic small subunit ribosomal RNA", at positions 1470 to 1796 of the family's 1831-position model. The record is from RNAcentral.